This 253-nucleotide ribosomal RNA is filed under the name uncultured bacterium. RNAcentral describes it as "partial 16S ribosomal RNA". It matches the Rfam family "Bacterial small subunit ribosomal RNA", at positions 524 to 776 of the family's 1533-position model. The record is from RNAcentral.
UACGUAGGUGGCAAGCGUUGUCCGGAUUUACUGGGCGUAAAGAGCGCGCAGGCGGUCGUAUAAGUCGAAUGUGAAAGCCCCCGGCUCAACUGGGGAGGGUCAUUCGAUACUGUUCGACUCGAAGGCAGGAGAGGGAAGUGGAAUUCCGGGUGUAGUGGUGAAAUGCGUAGAUAUCCGGAGGAACACCAGUGGCGAAGGCGACUUACUGGACGACUGUUGACGCUGAGGUGCGAAAGCGUGGGGAGCAAACAGG